This 486-nucleotide ribosomal RNA is filed under the name marine sediment bacterium ISA-1294. RNAcentral's name for it is "bacterial SSU rRNA". It matches the Rfam family "Bacterial small subunit ribosomal RNA", at positions 37 to 569 of the family's 1533-position model. The record is from RNAcentral.
UGGCGGCAUGCCUAACACAUGCAAGUCGAACGAAGGCUUCGGCCUUAGUGGCGCACGGGUGCGUAACGCGUGGGAAUCUACCCUUAGGUUCGGAAUAACUCAGAGAAAUUUGAGCUAAUACCGGAUGAUGUCUUCGGACCAAAGAUUUAUCGCCUUUGGAUGAGCCCGCGUAAGAUUAGCUAGUUGGUAGGGUAAAGGCCUACCAAGGCGACGAUCUUUAGCUGGUCUGAGAGGAUGAUCAGCCACACUGGGACUGAGACACGGCCCAGACUCCUACGGGAGGCAGCAGUGGGGAAUAUUGGACAAUGGGCGCAAGCCUGAUCCAGCAAUGCCGCGUGAGUGAUGAAGGCCUUCGGGUCGUAAAGCUCUUUUACCAGGGAUGAUAAUGACAGUACCUGGAGAAUAAGCUCCGGCUAACUCCGUGCCAGCAGCCGCGGUAAUACGGAGGGAGCUAGCGUUGUUCGGAAUUACUGGGCGUAAAGCGCG